Molecule: ribosomal RNA, 305 nt
Filed under: uncultured bacterium
Lineage: Bacteria
Description: partial 16S ribosomal RNA
Rfam family: Bacterial small subunit ribosomal RNA
Source: RNAcentral
ACAGCAGUAGCCCGGUAAUACGUAGGUGGCAAGCGUUGUCCGGAAUUAUUGGGCGUAAAGGGCUCGCAGGCGGUUUCUUAAGUCUGAUGUGAAAGCCCCCGGCUCAACCGGGGAGGGUCAUUGGAAACUGGGAAACUUGAGUGCAGAAGAGGAGAGUGGAAUUCCACGUGUAGCGGUGAAAUGCGUAGAGAUGUGGAGGAACACCAGUGGCGAAGGCGACUCUCUGGUCUGUAACUGACGCUGAGGAGCGAAAGCGUGGGGAGCGAACAGGAUUAGAUACCCGUGUAGUCCCUGUCUCUUAUACA